This 2837-nucleotide long non-coding RNA is filed under the name Citrus x clementina. Its description in RNAcentral is "Citrus clementina (C. clementina) long non-coding RNA (CCLE_LNC000209)". The record is from RNAcentral. Lineage: Eukaryota; Viridiplantae; Streptophyta; Magnoliopsida; Sapindales; Rutaceae.
AUCAUAUACAAAUCUUCUUUCCUACUCCUCAUAAUUUUGGGUGCUCCAGAUUCUUCCUUUUUGCAAUCUUUUGGCAAAAGAGGGGGAGUAAUUUUUCGUUUCAAGUCUUCAAUCAAAUAAUGCAAUAAGUUAGGGGGAGUAGUAUUUUAUUUCUAAGGGGAGAUUUUAUUUCUGUUCAAGAAUUUUUAGAUUUUUAGAUUUCUAUUUCUUAGGGGGAGUUUAUCUUUUUAUUGCUCUUGAUUUUUUGCUUAAUGUUGCCUCACUAUUUAUUGAUCAAUGAAAUCAACAUAUUAUUUUAAUUAUUACCUUAAUUUAUUUAAAUGAACUAACAUGCUAAUUGGCAAUUAUUUUUGUCAAUUCGUUGUUGUUUAUGCUUGUUUCAAGUUCAUGUUUUAGCGCCAAGUUUCAUGGAAGACUUGUGUUGGAUUACUUUUGCCACAAGAAUGCCAAAGGGGGAGAUUGUUAAGUUUAUUAUUUAUAAAGUUGACAUCUUAUGGCAAGUCUAAUUAAAUUGGAAUUUUAUUUAUUACAUAUCUUGUAAUAAGGAUUAUUUUAUUAAUUUCUUAUUUUAGUAAGAUUCCAAGUUACUAGGAGUAUUUGUUUCUUAAUUUAAUUAGGUGUCUAAUAUAGUAAGCCUAUUAAUGAUGAGAUUCUAUAAUUGGUGCAUAAGAUCUCUUUAAAGCAAGAAGUUGGUUCAAACUGAAAGUUUAUUAAAUGCUCUAGAUAUUUUUUUGAGACAAGUAAGGCAAGAAAAUCAUAUUUAUUCCUAUUAUGAUUCGUAAGAAUUAUAAAAGGAAAGAAACUCUUAUUUUGGAAAGAAUCCAAAUCUUUUAAGACUUGCCAUUUUUGUGAAACCCUAGUGCCUAUAUAAAGAUAGACAUUUCACAAUUGAAGAGGCACAACACAGAGCAUAAAGUAGAGAAUCAAACUUAGGUCUCCUCCCUAAAUAAUCCGGAUUUGGCGCAUAAUAUUGUGUUGACUUGUUUUCGCAUCUUCUUCAUUCAAAGUCUUGUAAUGAGACUAUUUCUUUUCAUCUCUGUGGAGAGUUUAUUUAGAUAUUGGAUCACUGGACAUUGAAGAAUUGCUAUUGAUCACUUUACGAAGUGUCUCGAGAAUCGUGGAUCAAGAGGAGUAGCAAUUAUUCAAGAGAAGCAGAUUCAAUCUAAGAUUGAGUAAGCUGUAUGGUGAUAAAUUGUAAGUGAAAGUCUUAACUUUGGUAAAUCUAUAAGUUGUAACAUUUCAAUUCAGUGAAUUACUUUUCAUCUGGACAUGACCUCAUGGAUGUAAGAUUGAUUAAUCCGAACCACGUAAAAGUUUCUGCAUCGUGUAAUUUUUGUAAUUUAUUGUGUUUUGAAAAAUUAAUAUUUUUGAAGCGGAUGAACAGUAACUGUAAACGGUUCCAGUGAAUAGCAAUAGUGAACAAUAUUCUCUAAAGUUAAUUAAGUUGUUAAUUCUAGAGUUUUAAUUGCCUACAUAUAUUUUCAGUAGAUCUAAAUUCUUUUCAAUCAUAAAAGACAUAAAAUUAGUAAAGAGCCUAUAUCAGAAGCUUCUUAGAUAUCUAAAAUUGUUAAAAUAAUUCACUUACCAAAAUUAUAGAAAGUAGAAAAUGCUUAAGCUUCUUAAGGGAAUUUGAAGUGUGAAAAUGAAUGGCAUAUAAUACAGUAGAAAGAAAAAAAAAAUUUAGUUCCAUAUAAAGGGAAGUUAACGAUGGUUGCAGAAAUGAGGGAAGUUAAGUACGAAUCAAAUAAUGGAAGGUUACUAAACUUCCUCAAAAUCAAAUUCUAUUUUUCGAAAAUAAACUAAUACAGAAAUAACGUUAAAAAUUUACUUUUUUAAAGAAAAACUAUAUAACAUAAAAAAACUAAAGUAUGUGGAUAUUAUAAUAUUAAUAGACAAAAAAAUACAGUUUUCAAUAUAUUAAAAUCUAUAUUUUUUAUAUUUUAGUGUGCAUUCUCAUUCUUACUUUGUUAAAGUGAGGAUACCCUCACUAAAGAAUAUAUAUAUAUAUAUAUAUAUAUAUAUAUAUAUAUAUAUAUAUAUAUAUAUAUAUAUAAAGAAUCUUCGAAUUAUUUAAUUGUUAGAUGGUCAUAGUAUAGUUUGUAAAUUAAUUAAGAGUGACCUUGAUGCUUUCCUCCACAAAAUAAAAAGCAUAAAGUGUGUUGGAUUGCAUACAUGGGUAAUUACCAAGAAAAUAAAUUUUACCAUUCAACAUAUAAUCAAACAUCGUUUAAAGUCAAAUAUACCACUAAAGAAGUCAAUUUGACCGAGAAAACACUGACAGGGAGGCACGUUACUUUUAGGGAAUUAUUGUGAUCAUUAAAACUAAUAAGUGAAAUGGAAGAAGGCUAUGGAAGCUCAGGCCCAAGACAGGCCUGGUUCCAGACUUGGACAGGCUUUUAAGGGCAUAAAAAUGCCCAUUUGCCAACCCCGAUAAUGCUCAUAAAUAGGAUCUCAAAUUACAAUUAGUUCAUUUGUUUAAUUUGGGCGAGGCCAUCUGAAUGCGUGAAUUUACUCUCCAAAUUCAUCAAUUCAUAAUUUUUUUAAUUUCUAAUUUGUCCUUUAAUUAAGUUACAUAUAAAGACAAGAGAACUAAACAAAUAAAAAGAAAAAGAAGAUUUAUAAUACUUUAGCAUAUAUUUACAAUGGUCUUUUAUGAAUUUUCGUACAUAGAUAUAUUGCAUUACAACUUCAUUAUCAAUAUUAUUAAAUAAAUCUUUUUCCAUGUAAACAACCAAAAUAAAAAGAUGUUUAGGAAUUUUUAAAGGGUGCUGUACUAGUGAAGGAAUUGGAAAAGGUAAGAUCAAUAAAAAAUUAUUAAUGAGUUUGUGGGCUGUUUA